UGAGUAACACGUGGGUAAUCUACCUUCUGGUGGGGAAUAACCGAGGGAAACUUUGGCUAAUACCGCAUAAGCCUGAGAAGGGAAAGUCGCAAGACGCCGGAAGAGGAGCCCGCGGCCGAUUAGCUAGUUGGUGAGGUAAAGGCACACCAAGGCAGAGAUCGGUAGCCGGCCUGAGAGGGCACACGGCCACACUGGCACUGAAACACGGGCCAGACUCCUACGGGAGGCAGCAGUGGGGAAUCUUGCACAAUGGGGGAAACCCUGAUGCAGCGACGCCGCGUGAGCGAUGAAGCCCUUCGGGGUGUAAAGCUCUUUCGUCAGGGAAGAUGGUGACGGUACCUGGAGAAGCAGCUGCGGCUAACUACGUGCCAGCAGCCGCGGUAAUACGUAGGCAGCAAGCGUUGUUCGGAGUUACUGGGCGUAAAGGGUGUGUAGGCGGUUCUUUAAGUUUGGUGUGAAAUCUCCCGGCUCAACUGGGAGGGUGCGCCGAAUACUGAGGGACUAGAGUACGGGAGAGGAAAGUGGAAUUCCUGGUGUAGCGGUGAAAUGCGUAGAUAUCAGGAGGAACACCGGUGGUGUAGACGGCUUUCUGGACCGACACUGACGCUGAGACACGAAAGCGUGGGUAGCAAACAGGAUUAGACACCCUGGUAGUCCACGCCCUAAACGAUGCAUAUUUGGUGUGGGCAGUUCAUUCUGUCCGUGCCGGAGCCAACGCGUUAAAUAUGCCGCCUGGGGAGUACAGUCGCAAGGCUGAAACUCAAAGGAAUUGACGGGGGCCCGCACAAGCGGUGGAGCAUGUGGUU
RNAcentral lists this ribosomal RNA (806 nucleotides) under uncultured Acidobacteriota bacterium. RNAcentral describes it as "bacterial SSU rRNA". It matches the Rfam family "Bacterial small subunit ribosomal RNA", at positions 107 to 946 of the family's 1533-position model. The record is from RNAcentral. Lineage: Bacteria; Pseudomonadati; Acidobacteriota.